Molecule: unclassified non-coding RNA, 345 nt
Filed under: soil metagenome
Description: partial contains 5.8S ribosomal RNA, internal transcribed spacer 2, and large subunit ribosomal RNA
Rfam family: 5.8S ribosomal RNA (bases 1-120)
Source: RNAcentral
GAUGAAGAACGCAGCGAAAUGCGAUAAGUAAUGUGAAUUGCAGAAUUCAGUGAAUCAUCGAAUCUUUGAACGCACAUUGCGCCCGCCAGUAUUCUGGCGGGCAUGCCUGUUCGAGCGUCAUUGCUGCCCUCAAGCACGGCUUGUGUGUUGGGCCUCCGUCCUCCUCCCGGGGGACCGGCCCGAAAGGCAGCGGCGGCACCGCGUCCGGUCCUCGAGCGUAUGGGGCUUCGUCACCCGCUCUUGUAGGCCCGGCCGGCGCUUGCCGACACAUCAAUCUUUUUUCCAGGUUGACCUCGGAUCAGGUAGGGAUACCCGCUGAACUUAAGCAUAUCAAUAAGCGGAGGA